AUAAUGGGUCAGCGACUUAUAUUCUGUAGCAAGGUUAACCGAAUAGGGGAGCCGAAGGGAAACCGAGUCUUAACUGGGCGUUAAGUUGCAGGGUAUAGACCCGAAACCCGGUGAUCUAGCCAUGGGCAGGUUGAAGGUUGGGUAACACUAACUGGAGGACCGAACCGACUAAUGUUGAAAAAUUAGCGGAUGACUUGUGGCUGGGGGUGAAAGGCCAAUCAAACCGGGAGAUAGCUGGUUCUCCCCGAAAGCUAUUUAGGUAGCGCCUCGUGAAUUCAUCUCCGGGGGUAGAGCACUGUUUCGGCAAGGGGGUCAUCCCGACUUACCAACCCGAUGCAAACUGCGAAUACCGGAGAAUGUUAUCACGGGAGACACACGGCGGGUGCUAACGUCCGUCGUGAAGAGGGAAACAACCCAGACCGCCAGCUAAGGUCCCAAAGUCAUGGUUAAGUGGGAAACGAUGUGGGAAGGCCCAGACAGCCAGGAUGUUGGCUUAGAAGCAGCCAUCAUUUAAAGAAAGCGUAAUAGCUCACUGGUCGAGUCGGCCUGCGCGGAAGAUGUAACGGGGCUAAACCAUGCACCGAAGCUGCGGCAGCGACGCUGAUGCGUUGUUGGGUAGGGGAGCGUUCUGUAAGCCUGUGAAGGUGUGCUGUGAGGCAUGCUGGAGGUAUCAGAAGUGCGAAUGCUGACAUAAGUAACGAUAAAGCGGGUGAAAAGCCCGCUCGCCGGAAGACCAAGGGUUCCUGUCCAACGUUAAUCGGGGCAGGGUGAGUCGACCCCUAAGGCGAGGCCGAAAGGCGUAGUCGAUGGGAAACAGGUUAAUAUUCCUGUACUUGGUGUUACUGCGAAGGGGGGACGGAGAAGGCUAUGUUGGCCGGGCGACGGUUGUCCCGGUUUAAGCGUGUAGGCUGGUUUUCCAGGCAAAUCCGGAAAACUAAGGCUGAGGCGUGAUGACGAGGCACUACGGUGCUGAAGCAACAAAUGCCCUGCUUCCAGGAAAAGCCUCUAAGCAUCAGGUAACAUCAAAUCGUACCCCAAACCGACACAGGUGGUCAGGUAGAGAAUACCAAGGCGCUUGAGAGAACUCGGGUGAAGGAACUAGGCAAAAUGGUGCCGUAACUUCGGGAGAAGGCACGCUGAUAUGUAGGUGAAGUCCCUCGCGGAUGGAGCUGAAAUCAGUCGAAGAUACCAGCUGGCUGCAACUGUUUAUUAAAAACACAGCACUGUGCAAACACGAAAGUGGACGUAUACGGUGUGACGCCUGCCCGGUGCCGGAAGGUUAAUUGAUGGGGUCAGCGCAAGCGAAGCUCUUGAUCGAAGCCCCGGUAAACGGCGGCCGUAACUAUAACGGUCCUAAGGUAGCGAAAUUCCUUGUCGGGUAAGUUCCGACCUGCACGAAUGGCGUAAUGAUGGCCAGGCUGUCUCCACCCGAGACUCAGUGAAAUUGAACUCGCUGUGAAGAUGCAGUGUACCCGCGGCAAGACGGAAAGACCCCGUGAACCUUUACUAUAGCUUGACACUGAACAUUGAGCCUUGAUGUGUAGGAUAGGUGGGAGGCUUUGAAGUGUGGACGCCAGUCUGCAUGGAGCCGACCUUGAAAUACCACCCUUUAAUGUUUGAUGUUCUAACGUUGACCCGUAAUCCGGGUUGCGGACAGUGUCUGGUGGGUAGUUUGACUGGGGCGGUCUCCUCCUAAAGAGUAACGGAGGAGCACGAAGGUUGGCUAAUCCUGGUCGGACAUCAGGAGGUUAGUGCAAUGGCAUAAGCCAGCUUGACUGCGAGCGUGACGGCGCGAGCAGGUGCGAAAGCAGGUCAUAGUGAUCCGGUGGUUCUGAAUGGAAGGGCCAUCGCUCAACGGAUAAAAGGUACUCCGGGGAUAACAGGCUGAUACCGCCCAAGAGUUCAUAUCGACGGCGGUGUUUGGCACCUCGAUGUCGGCUCAUCACAUCCUGGGGCUGAAGUAGGUCCCAAGGGUAUGGCUGUUCGCCAUUUAAAGUGGUACGCGAGCUGGGUUUAGAACGUCGUGAGACAGUUCGGUCCCUAUCUGCCGUGGGCGCUGGAGAACUGAGGGGGGCUGCUCCUAGUACGAGAGGACCGGAGUGGACGCAUCACUGGUGUUCGGGUUGUCAUGCCAAUGGCACUGCCCGGUAGCUAAAUGCGGAAGAG
RNAcentral lists this ribosomal RNA (2166 nucleotides) under Escherichia coli. RNAcentral describes it as "partial 23S ribosomal RNA". It matches the Rfam family "Bacterial large subunit ribosomal RNA", at positions 612 to 2763 of the family's 2925-position model. Lineage: Bacteria; Pseudomonadati; Pseudomonadota; Gammaproteobacteria; Enterobacterales; Enterobacteriaceae. The record is from RNAcentral.